AGCUGUGUUUUUCCUGUCAGACUAAACGGUUCUCCUUUUUCACCUGGUCGUACACCUGCCAGUUCUGCAAAAGGCCUGUGUGCUCGCAGUGCUGUAAAAAGAUGAGACUUCCCUCUAAGCCGUAUGCCAACCUGCCCAUCUCCUCUCUGGGAUCUACUACCACCAUCCUACCCAGGGAGGAGGCAGAAGGGACAUCAGCCCUGGACACCCCAGAGAAGCCCUCGUCCAGCCAGCGCCACAGCCUGCGCCGGACCGUCUCCAGGUACACAGAACAUCAU
This is a long non-coding RNA of Salvelinus sp. IW2-2015, 278 nucleotides long. RefSeq lists it as uncharacterized. The record is from RefSeq and is a predicted model, not a curated record. Lineage: Eukaryota; Metazoa; Chordata; Actinopteri; Salmoniformes; Salmonidae.